RNAcentral lists this ribosomal RNA (255 nucleotides) under uncultured bacterium. RNAcentral's name for it is "partial 16S ribosomal RNA". It matches the Rfam family "Bacterial small subunit ribosomal RNA", at positions 524 to 776 of the family's 1533-position model. The record is from RNAcentral.
UACGUAGGGUCCGAGCGUUAAUCGGAAUUACUGGGCGUAAAGGGUGUGUAGGCGGUUGUUUAAGUUUGGUGUGAAAUCUCCCGGCUCAACUGGGAGGGUGCGCCGAAUACUGAAUGACUUCGAGUGCGGGAGAGGAGAGUGGAAUUCCUGGUGUAGCGGUGAAAUGCGUAGAUAUCAGGAGGAACACCGGUGGUGUAGACGGCUCUCUGGACCGUAAACUGACGCUGAGACACGAAAGCGUGGGUAGCAAACAGG